RNAcentral lists this ribosomal RNA (433 nucleotides) under uncultured bacterium. Its description in RNAcentral is "partial 16S ribosomal RNA". It matches the Rfam family "Bacterial small subunit ribosomal RNA", at positions 29 to 507 of the family's 1533-position model. The record is from RNAcentral.
AGCGAACGCUGGCGGCAGGCCUAACACAUGCAAGUCGAACGAACUCUUCGGAGUUCGUGGCGGACGGGUGAGUAACACGUGGGAACGUGCCUUUUGGUUCGGAAUAACUCAGGGAAACUUGUGCUAAUACCGAAUGUGCCCUUCGGGGGCAAGAUUUAUCGCCAUUAGAGCGGCCCGCGUCUGAUUAGCUAGUUGGUGAGGUAACGGCUCACCAAGGCGACGAUCAGUAGCUGGUCUGAGAGGAUGACCAGCCACACUGGGACUGAGACACGGCCCAGACUCCUACGGGAGGCAGCAGUGGGGAAUCUUGCGCAAUGGGCGAAAGCCUGAUGCAGCCAUGCCGCGUGAAUGAUGAAGGUCUUAGGAUUGGAAAAUUCUUUAACCGGGGACGAUAAUGACGGUACCCGGAGAAGAAGCCCCGGCUAACUUCGUG